This 242-nucleotide long non-coding RNA is filed under the name Rosa chinensis. RNAcentral's name for it is "sRNA RchiOBHm_Chr4g0389281". Lineage: Eukaryota; Viridiplantae; Streptophyta; Magnoliopsida; Rosales; Rosaceae. The record is from RNAcentral.
UGUUCCUUAACAAUUUAGGGAUUAAUGUCAUGUUCUUCUCUUUUUCCUUAUAUCAAGUGUUAGGGGAUUAAUAUCAAUGUCGAUACCUUAUGUGUAGCCACUAGCUAACCUGUCUCAUAAUAGUGCAUAUAUUAACUAACAAACUAUACAUAUUUAGGACUGUCACUGUAUUUAUCAAUUUCAAGUAACCUAUGUAGUUCCUAUCGAGUAGAGACAGAGCCAUAUGUUCAAUUAUGAGUUAC